GGGAGAGAUCCGAUUAAUCGAAUGAUUUAUUUACUUAUUUAACUGUCGUGUUUAAUCAGGCCUCACUACUGUCAUGCAGACUCUCCCUCACUCUGGCAGAUACUCUUCUAUCACAGUUCAGUUGUGCCACAGUUCAGUCCUCCUCUCCUCUACACAAAAGAACAUAAAGACUCGAUAUUAAAUACCGGUUCUACUGCACCAGCACAAAAAAUGUACGAGUGAGCUCAAGUGCUUUGUGAAGAACACAAAAGUCCUGAAGAAACAAAGAGGCAGGAACCCGUCUGACCGCUUCUCAAGAGUGUCCCAAAAAAUGUGAACAAUAUAAACAGAGACAUAUUUCAGUCUAAAUCCAGGUUCUGUUUUCUCAGACCAGAACAAAACCAGCUCAGGUCAGACAUCAUCAUCCGUCUCAGCAGCGUCAUUCUACAACUACUGGGGUUAAAGAGUCUGCUGAGGGUCUGGACGGGCGCCGUCCACGUACGACUGGCUGGAGGAUGGCACAUCGGUGGUGGAGAAAUACACAGAGCAUAGUGUGACUCUCAGUAGCCUGCAGAAGCGGAGAUGUGAGGCCGGGAUUGCAAGGACGAUGGGAAAACACACACACACACACACACACAGUUGUGUCCUUGACAAGUGCAAAGUUCUAAACACCCCCUUAUUUACAUGGACGUUUGACUCAAUGAAGACAAAACACACACGUGUGUAUGUAUAUGAAUGUGUGUGUGUGUGUGUGUGUGUGUGUGUGUGUGUGUACAUAGAUUGUGUGCAUCUAAUGCAAACUAUCUGCUCAAGUAUCGCUCACAGCACGUCCAUAAAACAAUAAACCCCACGCCAUGAUGAGUCCCCAGUGCAUGAUGGGAGAAUUCCUCACACUGAAA
Long non-coding RNA from Trichomycterus rosablanca, 878 nucleotides. RefSeq lists it as uncharacterized. NCBI's taxonomy places the organism in Eukaryota, Metazoa, Chordata, Actinopteri, Siluriformes, Trichomycteridae. The record is from RefSeq and is a predicted model, not a curated record. The transcript is spliced from 3 exons.